Long non-coding RNA from Limulus polyphemus (Atlantic horseshoe crab), 89 nucleotides. RefSeq lists it as uncharacterized. The record is from RefSeq and is a predicted model, not a curated record. NCBI's taxonomy places the organism in Eukaryota, Metazoa, Arthropoda, Merostomata, Xiphosura, Limulidae. The transcript is spliced from 4 exons.
GUCGUUAAAAUUUCGUACGGAACGAAGUUACGGAAAAAUCAAUUAACAAACGGAGACGUAACAAUAUGUUAUCUUUAAAAUAUUUUGAA